Molecule: ribosomal RNA, 500 nt
Filed under: uncultured bacterium
Lineage: Bacteria
Description: partial 16S ribosomal RNA
Rfam family: Bacterial small subunit ribosomal RNA
Source: RNAcentral
AUUGAACGCUGGCGGCAUGCCUUACACAUGCAAGUCGAACGGCAGCACGGGAGCAAUCCUGGUGGCGAGUGGCGAACGGGUGAGUAAUGUAUCGGAACGUGCCCAGUCGUGGGGGAUAACGCAGCGAAAGCUGUGCUAAUACCGCAUACGAUCUAUGGAUGAAAGCGGGGGAUCGCAAGACCUCGCGCGACUGGAGCGGCCGAUAUCAGAUUAGCGAGUUGGGGGGGUAAAGGCUCACCAAGGCGACGAUCUGUAGCUGGUCUGAGAGGAGGAACGACCACACUGGAACUGAGACACGGUCCAGACUCCUACGGGAGGCAGCAGUGGGGAAUUUUGGACAAUGGGCGCAAGCCUGAUCCAGCAAUGCCGCGUGCAGGAUGAAGGCCUUCGGGUUGUAAACUGCUUUUGUACGGAGCGAAAAGGCUUUCUCUAAUACAGGGGGCUCAUGACGGUACCGUAAGAAUAAGCACCGGCUAACUACGUGCCAGCCGCCGCCGUAA